GCAAACUUGGUCAUUUAGAGGAAGUAAAAGUCGUAACAAGGUUUCCGUAGGUGAACCUGCGGAAGGAUCAUUAUUGAAUAAACUUGGUUAGGUUGUUGCUGGCUCCUCGGAGCAUGUGCACGCCUACUCCAUCUUUAACCACCUGUGCACCUUCUGUAGAUCUGAGAAACUCGAGGAAACUCGGUUUGAGAAUUGCUGAGCGACAGCCGGCUAUUCUUGUCAUCAGAUCUAUGUCUUUAUAUACCCCAUAUGAAUGUAUUCGCAUGUUGUAACUGGCGUUCGUGCCAUUAAAACUUAAUACAACUUUCAACAACGGAUCUCUUGGCUCUCGCAUCGAUGAAGAACGCAGC
This 350-nucleotide unclassified non-coding RNA is filed under the name uncultured fungus. Its description in RNAcentral is "partial contains small subunit ribosomal RNA, internal transcribed spacer 1, and 5.8S ribosomal RNA". The stretch from base 1 to 73 matches the Rfam family "Eukaryotic small subunit ribosomal RNA", at positions 1759 to 1831 of the family's 1831-position model. Lineage: Eukaryota; Fungi. The record is from RNAcentral.